CCUACGGGUGGCAGCAGUGGGGAAUAUUGCACAAUGGGCGAAAGCCUGAUGCAGCAACGCCGCGUGAAGGAAGAAGGGUUUCGGCUCGUAAACUUCUAUCAGCAGGGAAGAAGAAAGACGGUACCUGACUAAGAAGCCCCGGCUAACUACGUGCCAGCAGCCGCGGUAAUACGUAGGGGGCAAGCGUUAUCCGGAUUUACUGGGUGUAAAGGGCGUGUAGGCGGGAGCGCAAGUCAGAUGUGAAAACUCAGGGCUCAACCCUGAGCCUGCAUUUGAAACUGUGUUUCUUGAGUGCUGGAGAGGCAAUCGGAAUUCCGUGUGUAGCGGUGAAAUGCGUAGAUAUACGGAGGAACACCAGUGGCGAAGGCGGAUUGCUGGACAGUAACUGACGCUGAGGCGCGAAAGCGUGGGGAGCAAACAGGAUUAGAUACCCGGGUAGUC
This 441-nucleotide ribosomal RNA is filed under the name uncultured bacterium. RNAcentral describes it as "partial 16S ribosomal RNA". It matches the Rfam family "Bacterial small subunit ribosomal RNA", at positions 338 to 795 of the family's 1533-position model. The record is from RNAcentral.